AUACGGAGGUUGCAAGCGUUACUCGGAAUCACUGGGCGUAAAGCGCGCGCAGGCGGUCUUUUAAGUUGGAUGUGAAAGCCUACGGCUCAACCGUAGAACUGCAUCCAAAACUAUUAGACUAGAGUGUGGGAGAGGAAGAUGGAAUUAGUUGUGUAGGGGUAAAAUCCGUAGAGAUAACUAGGAAUACCAAAAGCGAAGGCAAUCUUCUGGAACACUACUGACGCUGUGGCGCGAAAGCGUGGGGAGCAAACAGGAUUAGAAACCCUAGUAGUCC
Molecule: ribosomal RNA, 274 nt
Filed under: uncultured bacterium
Lineage: Bacteria
Description: partial 16S ribosomal RNA
Rfam family: Bacterial small subunit ribosomal RNA
Source: RNAcentral